GCAUAUCAAUAAGCGGAGGAAAAGAAACCAACAGGGAUUGCCCUAGUAACGGCGAGUGAAGCGGCAACAGCUCAAAUUUGAAAUCUGGCCUCGGCCCGAGUUGUAAUUUGCAGAGGAUGCUUCUGGCGCGGUGCCUUCCGAGUUCCCUGGAACGGGACGCCACAGAGGGUGAGAGCCCCGUAUGGUUGGACACCAAGCCUGUGUGAAGCUCCUUCGACGAGUCGAGUAGUUUGGGAAUGCUGCUCUAAAUGGGAGGUAAAUCUCUUCUAAAGCUAAAUACCGGCCAGAGACCGAUAGCGCACAAGUAGAGUGAUCGAAAGAUGAAAAGCACCUUGAAAAGGGGGUUAAAUAGUACGUGAAAUUGUUGAAAGGGAAGCACUUAUGACCAGACUUGGGCCGGGCGGCUCAUCAGGGGUUCUCCCCUGUGCACUCCGCCCGGCACAGGCCAGCAUCGGUUUUCGCGGGGGGAUAAGACCGCCGGGAACGUAGCACCCUCCGGGGUGUGUUAUAGCCCGGCGGACGAUACCCUCGCGGGGACCGAGGUCCGCGCUCCGCAAGGAUGCUGGCGUAAUGGUCAUCAGUGACCCGUCUUGAAACACGGACCAAGGAGUCGUCCAUUAGAGCGAGCGUUUGGGUGUAAAACCCGCACGCGUAAUGAAAGUGAACGCAGGUGAGAGCUUCGGCGCAUCAUCGACCGAUCCUGAUGUUCUCGGAAGGAUUUGAGUAAGAGUUUUAACGGACGGACCCGAAAGACAGUGAACUAUGCUUGUAUAGGGUGAAGCCAGAGGAAACUCUGGUGGAGGCUCGCAGCGGUUCUGACGUGCAAAUCGAUCGUCAAAUAUGAGCAUGGGGGCGAAAGACUAAUCGAACUGUCUAGUAGUGU
RNAcentral lists this ribosomal RNA (883 nucleotides) under Diaporthe elizabethblackwelliae. RNAcentral's name for it is "partial large subunit ribosomal RNA". It matches the Rfam family "Eukaryotic large subunit ribosomal RNA", at positions 38 to 952 of the family's 3401-position model. The record is from RNAcentral. Lineage: Eukaryota; Fungi; Ascomycota; Sordariomycetes; Diaporthales; Diaporthaceae.